CUGAGAUCUAACUUCCCUGCUGUGAUCCCUGCCUUUCUACUAACAGGGAGCCCAGGCGCAGAGCUACUAAUGAGCAUGCUGGAGAGAGUGUCCAGCCCAGCUCCGGCUAGAGACAAUCCACCUGUCUGCUCUCCGACGCAGGGUUCCUUGGUCAACUCUGGGUGUUAAGUUAAUGAGAUGCUGAAUGAC
Molecule: long non-coding RNA, 189 nt
Filed under: Corvus moneduloides (New Caledonian crow)
Lineage: Eukaryota; Metazoa; Chordata; Aves; Passeriformes; Corvidae
Description: lncRNA (ENSCMUG00000019873.1)
Source: RNAcentral